This 72-nucleotide transfer RNA is filed under the name Bos taurus (domestic cattle). It matches the Rfam family "tRNA". Rfam says of the family: Transfer RNA (tRNA) molecules are approximately 80 nucleotides in length. Their secondary structure includes four short double-helical elements and three loops (D, anti-codon, and T loops). The record is from Rfam by way of RNAcentral. Lineage: Eukaryota; Metazoa; Chordata; Mammalia; Artiodactyla; Bovidae.
UCCUUAGUGGCUUAGAGGAUAAAGAAUCUGCCUGUAAUGUGGGAGACCCAGGUUCGAUUCCUGGGUUGGGAA